Paramuricea clavata is the source of this 213-nucleotide non-coding RNA. The record is from the annotation of a GenBank genome assembly. Lineage: Eukaryota; Metazoa; Cnidaria; Anthozoa; Malacalcyonacea; Plexauridae.
UACUCCAGAUUUGAGCGAUCGUUUCUCGAUGGAACUCGAAGCGUCUUCUUGUUGUUCGUCUUGCAAAUGCAAGAUGUCAACAGCAGAGGAACAAACUGCAAUUUCGAGCAUUACAACAACAACAAUAGCCAACCACGAUAUUUUGUUGAAAUCCAUUUUCUUCUUUUUUCAAGUGCCUUCUGAUUUUUCUCUUCUGAUCUGAACUUCUCCAAG